RNAcentral lists this ribosomal RNA (253 nucleotides) under uncultured bacterium. Its description in RNAcentral is "partial 16S ribosomal RNA". It matches the Rfam family "Bacterial small subunit ribosomal RNA", at positions 524 to 776 of the family's 1533-position model. The record is from RNAcentral.
UACAGAGGUCUCAAGCGUUGUUCGGAUUCAUUGGGCGUAAAGGGUGCGUAGGUGGCGUCGUAAGUCAGGUGUGAAAUUUCGGAGCUUAACUCCGAAACUGCAUUUGAUACUGCGGUGCUUGAGGACUGGAGAGGAGACUGGAAUUUACGGUGUAGCAGUGAAAUGCGUAGAGAUCGUAAGGAAGACCGGUGGCGAAGGCGGGUCUCUGGACAGUUCCUGACGCUGAGGCACGAAGGCCAGGGGAGCAAACAGG